Molecule: ribosomal RNA, 465 nt
Filed under: uncultured bacterium
Lineage: Bacteria
Description: partial 16S ribosomal RNA
Rfam family: Bacterial small subunit ribosomal RNA
Source: RNAcentral
GAUGAACGCUGGCGGCGUGCUUAACACAUGCAAGUCGAACGGAAAGGCUCCUGCUUGCAGGGGUACUCGAGUGGCGAACGGGUGAGUAACACGUGGGUGAUCUGCCCUGCACUUCGGGAUAAGCCUGGGAAACUGGGUCUAAUACCGGAUAGGACGAUGGUUUGGAUGCCAUUGUGGAAAGUUUUUCGGUGUGGGAUGAGCUCGCGGCCUAUCAGCUUGUUGGUGGGGUAAUGGCCUACCAAGGCGUCGACGGGUAGCCGGCCUGAGAGGGUGUACGGCCACAUUGGGACUGAGAUACGGCCCAGACUCCUACGGGAGGCAGCAGUGGGGAAUAUUGCACAAUGGGCGCAAGCCUGAUGCAGCGACGCCGCGUGGGGGAUGACGGCCUUCGGGUUGUAAACGCCUUUCGCUAGGGACGAAGCGCAAGUGACGGUACCUGGAGAAGAAGCACCGGCUAACUACGUG